UACGGGGGGAGCAAACGUUGUUCGGAAUCACUGGGCGUAAAGGGCGUGUAGGCGGCUGAAUAAGUGGGAUGUUAAAUCCCCCGGCUCAACCGGGGACCUGCAUCUCAUACUGUUCAGCUCGAGCACAUCAGAGGAGACUGGAAUUCCCGGUGUAGCGGUGAAAUGCGUAGAUAUCAGGAGGAACACCGGUGGUGUAGACGGCUUUCUGGACCGUAACUGACGCUGAGACACGAAAGCGUGGGUAGCAAACAGG
RNAcentral lists this ribosomal RNA (253 nucleotides) under uncultured bacterium. RNAcentral describes it as "partial 16S ribosomal RNA". It matches the Rfam family "Bacterial small subunit ribosomal RNA", at positions 524 to 776 of the family's 1533-position model. The record is from RNAcentral.